UAGCUUGCUACCUGACCUAGCGGCGGACGGGUGAGUAAUGCUUAGGAAUCUGCCUAUUAGUGGGGGACAACAUUCCGAAAGGAAUGCUAAUACCGCAUACGCCCUACGGGGGAAAGCAGGGGAUCUUCGGACCUUGCGCUAAUAGAUGAGCCUAAGUCAGAUUAGCUAGUUGGUGGGGUAAAGGCCUACCAAGGCGACGAUCUGUAGCGGGUCUGAGAGGAUGAUCCGCCACACUGGGACUGAGACACGGCCCAGACUCCUACGGGAGGCAGCAGUGGGGAAUAUUGGACAAUGGGCGAAAGCCCGAUCCAGCCAUGCCGCGUGUGUGAAGAAGGCCUUUUGGUUGUAAAGCACUUUAAGCGAGGAGGAGGCUACUUGGAUUAAUACUCUAGGAUAGUGGACGUUACUCGCAGAAUAAGCACCGGCUAACUCUGUGCCAGCAGCCGCGGUAAUACAGAGGGUGCGAGCGUUAAUCGGAUUUACUGGGCGUAAAGCGUGCGUAGGCGGCUUUUUAAGUCGGAUGUGAAAUCCCUGAGCUUAACUUAGGAAUUGCAUUCGAUACUGGGAAGCUAGAGUAUGGGAGAGGAUGGUAGAAUUACAGGUGUAGCGGUGAAAUGCGUAGAGAUCUGGAGGAAUACCGAUGGCGAAGGCAGCCAUCUGGCCUAAUACUGACGCUGAGGUACGAAAGCAUGGGGAGCAAACAGGAUUAGAUACCCUGGUAGUCCAUGCCGUAAACGAUGUCUACUAGCCGUUGGGGCCUUUGAGGCUUUAGUGGCGCAGCUAACGCGAUAAGUAGACCGCCUGGGGAGUACGGUCGCAAGACUAAAACUCAAAUGAAUUGACGGGGGCCCGCACAAGCGGUGGAGCAUGUGGUUUAAUUCGAUGCAACGCGAAGAACCUUACCUGGUCUUGACAUAGUAAGAACUUUCCAGAGAUGGAUUGGUGCCUUCGGGAACUUACAUACAGGUGCUGCAUGGCUGUCGUCAGCUCGUGUCGUGAGAUGUUGGGUUAAGUCCCGCAACGAGCGCAACCCUUUUCCUUAUUUGCCAGCGGGUUAAGCCGGGAACUUUAAGGAUACUGCCAGUGACAAACUGGAGGAAGGCGGGGACGACGUCAAGUCAUCAUGGCCCUUACGACCAGGGCUACACACGUGCUACAAUGGUCGGUACAAAGGGUUGCUACCUAGCGAUAGGAUGCUAAUCUCAAAAAGCCGAUCGUAGUCCGGAUUGGAGUCUGCAACUCGACUCCAUGAAGUCG
This 1257-nucleotide ribosomal RNA is filed under the name uncultured Acinetobacter sp. Its description in RNAcentral is "bacterial SSU rRNA". It matches the Rfam family "Bacterial small subunit ribosomal RNA", at positions 76 to 1328 of the family's 1533-position model. Lineage: Bacteria; Pseudomonadati; Pseudomonadota; Gammaproteobacteria; Moraxellales; Moraxellaceae. The record is from RNAcentral.